Marmota flaviventris (yellow-bellied marmot) is the source of this 2555-nucleotide non-coding RNA. The record is from RefSeq and is a predicted model, not a curated record. NCBI's taxonomy places the organism in Eukaryota, Metazoa, Chordata, Mammalia, Rodentia, Sciuridae.
CAGAUGAGGAAACCGACAGUCAGAGACAAGUGAGUUGCCAAGACCCACGUAGCUGGGGAGGUUUUGUCAGCAUUGAGAUUUAAGACAGGGUCUAUGUGACUCUAAGGACUUGAAUUGUCCAAAAAUGCCAUUCUUUCUAUUCUCCCUCCCCAUCUCCCCUGGGAAGCAAAAUACCCCUAUCUCUUGUGAUCCCUAUCUCCAAUUUUUGUGUGAACCCUAAGCACCUGCAGCAAAGGGUGAGUUGGCCCCACUGCCUGGGGUGCACUCCUGGCUCUGCACUGCUUUAGGGUGUAACACUGGAUACAUAGCUGAGUUUUUCUGAAUUUAACAUGAAAUACUAGCCUCAGAACUGUGUGAGGAUUAAAAAAAAGAAAGACAUACAUUUUCUUUGUGGAAAGCUUAGCAUAGUGCCUGCUACAUAGUAAUUAUUCAAUAGAUGAUAGAUAAUAUCAUUAUUGUGGAUGCUAAGCCUCAUUUUUUGGUCUCAGUUGAUUGUUAUUAAGCCAGGCUAAUGUGUUGCCUGAUGAGGCAUUGGCCUAAGUUGUAUUUGCAUUUUAGAUGGAGACACUUGAAGAUAAAAAUUUACACUGUCUUUAGAAGAGCACCCAUCUUCCUCUCUUCCCUGGGAGGGAAUAAAGAAAGAUUGGAAAAACCUUUGUGGCAGGCCAGCUGCAGGGAGGUGCAGAUACUUUUAAGUUAUGCAAAAACAAAACUCAGAAAGUUGCCAGCCACGCACAGGGCCAGUGUUAAGUGAUUUGCCACCUGUGCAGAAACCUAUACGAUACCUAGAGUAAGAGUUCCUAAGAAACCUGAGCUUUCUCAUUUGUACCCCUUGUCUCCUAUCCUGGGCCCAUAGUAAAGAAAAUAAGGACAAGCAAGAAACUAGCUCUUUGAAAUGUCAGAGUCUUAGAGGUAAGGGCCACUUGCCCAAAAGCAUUUGAAUAGCACACCCCGUCCUAGGAAGCUUAUCCCAAACCUCAUCCUCUUCAAGACCCCCUCACUGGGGAGGCUGAGUUGCCUCUGCAGGUGUCUGUGCAAAUGGGAGACCAACAAUGGUCAUUAGUUUUCAUUUGCUGAAAUCAGCAAUUUAAUCCUAACCUAACCAGAGCCUGUAACUCCCCCUUCCUGGACAAAGGCCCUCCCCGAGAAUGACUGAAUUUCACAGGGAGCAAUAAAGCAAAGGGCUUCUGCUGAAUCAGGUGCUAGACUCUCGGGCCUGUAAAUCAUCCCCCUUGGUUCUUCAGGUUGGAGAUGAUGUCUUCACCACAGCCCUCUCUUUCCUGCUAUUUCCACAACCCCAGCUACUAAGGAGAUACCCCUAGGUAGCACAUCCUUUCCAAACUGGGAACGCAGCUGGUCCUGGGUCCCCUUUCAAAACACGUGUGGCAGGAGAGUGUUCAUAUGAAAUGCAAACAUUGCAGAUUGCCCGAUCCGACUGGCCUCAAUAAAUCCAUAAGUUGUUCAUGGUUGUACAUUCAUGGAUGGUCUGAGAACAGUCAAUGUGGAAACCAGGUCAUUUAGAGGAAUUCCAGUCCAGGUGUUCUCAGAGACUCGGGCCCCUGAAUAGGAGAGCAAGGAUUGUACAAUCAAUUCUCCAGAGACCUUUCGCUUUCUGGGGUGUGUUCAGUAAAGGCAGUUGGUUAGGAUAAAGCAGAGAGCUAAUCAGUCAAGAGAUUUCCUUUAAAUGGAAGUUUUCAGAAUCUGGUGUUUAGUGAAUGUCAAGCUUGAGAAAGAGGUGAGAUUGACAGAAGCUAAGACCCUCAAAUCAGGGCUUCUCUUUUUAUCCUCAGUUUGACCUAAUAGACCGUACAUGCUAAAGCCAGUCACUCUCCUCCCUGAAGUAGGACUUGGCCUCACACAGUCAGACAGCUGCACUUGACAUCAACAGAUGAGUGCAUAAAUGAGUCAACACACUUGGCUUGACCACAUGGACUUCUGCUACCUUCUCAAGAUACACUGGUAGGAGAAGCAUUUCUGGAAAACAUCUUUGGCUCACCAAGGACAGGGAACCCCGAUUCAUCUCUUCUGGAAGUGGAGUAUUUACCAGGAUUCUUUCACACAAACCUGCUCUGUUCACAGCCCACCUGGGUUACUCAGCUUUUUGUCUCUGUGACCAAAACGUCCAACCGGAACAACUUAGAGGAGGAAGUUUAUUUUGGCUCACAGUUCCAGAGGCUCAUGGUGGACCAGCUCCAUCGCUCUGGGUUCAAGAUCAAAACAACACAGGAAGAAGUUCCAUUAAAAUGAAUGGUAGAUUUCCAGACAGCAGCAUGUGAUACUUUCCUUAGAGCAAAGGACCUUGUCGUCUGAGAAACCAACCCGCAAAAGCCCCUGGCCUAUCAGAGCCGCUGGAAAUGGCUGGAAACCCAACCACCAGAUUUGUGAACCAGAGAAAGAGGAACGAAGAUGCUCUGAAAUGCUUAUUUAGACAGUGCUAACAUAUCAAAAGAACAUUUGACACAAAUGGGGUAUCUAGUUACCAUAGAUCUUAUAAAGUUCAUUCAAAGAAUGUAAUGAAAAAAAUCAAAUAAAUGAAUCAUUCAGGGAUAUGCAAA